RNAcentral lists this ribosomal RNA (441 nucleotides) under uncultured bacterium. RNAcentral describes it as "partial 16S ribosomal RNA". It matches the Rfam family "Bacterial small subunit ribosomal RNA", at positions 338 to 795 of the family's 1533-position model. The record is from RNAcentral.
CCUACGGGAGGCAGCAGUGGGGGAUAUUGCACAAUGGGGGGAACCCUGAUGCAGCGACGCCGCGUGGGUGAAGGAGCGUUUCGGCGCGUAAAGCUCUAUCGGCAGGGAAGAGGGAGGAAGGUACCUGACAAAGAAGCCCCGGCUAACUACGUGCCAGCAGCCGCGGCAAUACGUAGGGGGCAAGCGUUAUCCGGAUUUACUGGGUGUAAAGGGAGCGUAGACGGUUAGGCAAGUCAGGAGUGAAAGGCUGGGGCUCAACCCCCGGACUGCUUUUGAAACUGUAUAACUGGAGUGCAGGAGAGGUAAGUGGAAUUCCUAGUGUAGCGGUGAAAUGCGUAGAUAUUAGGAGGAACACCAGUGGCGAAGGCGGCUUACUGGACUGUAACUGACGUUGAGGCUCGAAAGCGUGGGGAGCAAACAGGAUUAGAUACCCUUGUAGUC